Molecule: ribosomal RNA, 1361 nt
Filed under: Escherichia coli
Lineage: Bacteria; Pseudomonadati; Pseudomonadota; Gammaproteobacteria; Enterobacterales; Enterobacteriaceae
Description: bacterial LSU rRNA
Rfam family: Bacterial large subunit ribosomal RNA
Source: RNAcentral
GAGCUGUGAUGGGGAAGCUCCUUAUGGAGCGAAGUCUUUGAUUCCCCGCUGCCAAGAAAAGCUUCUAGCGAGAUAAAAGGUGCCUGUACCGCAAACCGACACAGGUAGGCGAGGAGAGAAUCCUAAGGUGUGCGAGAGAACUCUGGUUAAGGAACUCGGCAAAAUGACCCCGUAACUUCGGGAGAAGGGGUGCUUUCUUAACGGAAAGCCGCAGUGAAUAGGCCCAAGCGACUGUUUAGCAAAAACACAGCUCUCUGCGAAGCCGUAAGGCGAAGUAUAGGGGGUGACACCUGCCCGGUGCUGGAAGGUUAAGGAGAGGGGUUAGCGUAAGCGAAGCUCUGAACUGAAGCCCCAGUAAACGGCGGCCGUAACUAUAACGGUCCUAAGGUAGCGAAAUUCCUUGUCGGGUAAGUUCCGACCCGCACGAAAGGUGUAACGAUUUGGGCACUGUCUCAACCAGAGACUCGGUGAAAUUAUAGUACCUGUGAAGAUGCAGGUUACCCGCGACAGGACGGAAAGACCCCGUGGAGCUUUACUGUAGCCUGAUAUUGAAUUUUGGUACAGUUUGUACAGGAUAGGCGGGAGCCAUUGAAACCGGAGCGCUAGCUUCGGUGGAGGCGCUGGUGGGAUACCGCCCUGACUGUAUUGAAAUUCUAACCUACGGGUCUUAUCGACCCGGGAGACAGUGUCAGGUGGGCAGUUUGACUGGGGCGGUCGCCUCCUAAAGUGUAACGGAGGCGCCCAAAGGUUCCCUCAGAAUGGUUGGAAAUCAUUCGUAGAGUGCAAAGGCAUAAGGGAGCUUGACUGCGAGACCUACAAGUCGAGCAGGGACGAAAGUCGGGCUUAGUGAUCCGGUGGUUCCGCAUGGAAGGGCCAUCGCUCAACGGAUAAAAGCUACCCCGGGGAUAACAGGCUUAUCUCCCCCAAGAGUCCACAUCGACGGGGAGGUUUGGCACCUCGAUGUCGGCUCAUCGCAUCCUGGGGCUGUAGUCGGUCCCAAGGGUUGGGCUGUUCGCCCAUUAAAGCGGUACGCGAGCUGGGUUCAGAACGUCGUGAGACAGUUCGGUCCCUAUCCGUCGUGGGCGUAGGAAAUUUGAGAGGAGCUGUCCUUAGUACGAGAGGACCGGGAUGGACGCACCGCUGGUGUACCAGUUGUUCUGCCAAGGGCAUAGCUGGGUAGCUAUGUGCGGAAGGGAUAAGUGCUGAAAGCAUCUAAGCAUGAAGCCCCCCUCAAGAUGAGAUUUCCCAUAGCGUAAGCUAGUAAGAUCCCUGAAAGAUGAUCAGGUUGAUAGGUUCGAGGUGGAAGCAUGGUGACAUGUGGAGCUGACGAAUACUAAUAGAUCGAGGACUUAACCAUAUAA